UGGGGAAUAUUGCACAAUGGAGGGAACUCUGAUGCAGCGACGCCGCGUGAACGAAGAAGGCUUUCGAGUCGUAAAGUUCUUUUAUAUGGGAAGAUAAUGACGGUACCAUAAGAAAAAGCCCCGGCUAACUACGUGCCAGCAGCCGCGGUAAUACGUAGGGGGCUAGCGUUGUCCGGAAUCACUGGGCGUAAAGGGUUCGCAGGCGGAAAUGCAAGUCAGGUGUAAAAGGCAGUAGCUUAACUACUGUAAGCAUUUGAAACUGCAUAUCUUGAGAAGAGUAGAGGUAAGUGGAAUUUUUAGUGAAGCGGUGAAAUGCGUAGAUAUUAAAAAGAAUACCGGUGGCGAAGGCGACUUACUGGGCUCAUUCUGACGCUGAGGAACGAAAGCGUGGGUAGCAAACAGG
Molecule: ribosomal RNA, 403 nt
Filed under: bacterium
Lineage: Bacteria
Also listed under: 1 other name
Description: partial 16S ribosomal RNA
Rfam family: Bacterial small subunit ribosomal RNA
Source: RNAcentral